AGUCUUUCCACCGCCUGUAUUUCAGCAUAUGUCAGUCAGGGCGGCCCAGCAUCUCCAGAUGGCUUCGAGCUCCCUCUACAUAUCCGAUGCCAGCUCAUCACUGGAGAAGUGUGUGUGUGUGGGGAGAGUCCCAGAGACAGAGACAUAAAGCCACAGUGGGGAGAGACGGAAAUGAGGUAGGCAAGACAGAAAGAAUGAGAGGGAGGAAGAGGGAAGGGACAGAAGGCAGGAGAGCCUAGAUUCUUCCUCCUAGUCUAAAAGGACCCUCACCUUCGGGGCUGGGCCUGUGGCCAAGUGGUUAAGGUUCCACACUUUCUGCUUGGGAGGCCUGGGUUCACAGGUUCAGAUCCCAGAUGCGGCCCUACUCCACUCAUCAGCCAUGCUGUGGAGGCAUCCCACAUACAAAGUAGAGGAAGAUGGGCACAGAUGUUAGUUCAGGGCUAAUAUUCCUCAAAUGAAAAGAUAAAAAAAAUAAAAGGACCCUAACCUUCCUGCAGGGAGGGUCUCUCCUCCACGAGGUUGGUGGGGGGUGUCUGAAGAAGACUCUCUCAGCCUCGAGUUCUCUGGCAGACAGUGAAAUUGGUGGUUCUCAAAGUGUGUUCCCUGGACCAGCAGCUCAGCAUGACUUGGGAGCUUGUCAGAAGUGCAAAUUCUCCUGCCUCACCCCAGACCUCCUGAAUCAAAGACUGCGGGGUAGGGCCCAGCAUCUGUGUUUUAACAAGCCCUCCAGGUGUUUCUGCUGCACGCUCGAGUUUGAGAACCACACCCUGAAGUUGCAGUGCUUGGCCUCCAGUGCUGUGAACUGCUCUCAGUCCCCGCCACGGGGCUGCUGUCUUCCAAGAGGAGUGACGUGGGUGGUCUUGAGAGCUGGCACCAUCUUCAGAGUCACUCAAAUGAUACCUCUGUAGCCUUCAAUUACCUGUAGGAAUUGGGGGAACAGGAGGAAGUGUCAAGGAACAGCCCAGAGGAAGAAAAAAGACAACCUGGAGAAAAGGAUGCUUAGAAGGGCAAGGCUGCAGCUGGUGCGUGCAGCUCUUAAGUAGCAGGCUCUCAGCUCCUGCCAUGCAGGACGAUGAUGGAAAGGGGGCACUAAUGGGAAAGCAGUCUGACCCCAGCUUCAGGUGAAUUUGAUGGAGGGUCAAUUUGGGGAUAAUUGUGGUGCGCUGUCUGGAUUCUGCUGGGAGAGGGCAGAUGGGGACAGGAGCAGGGAUGGGUAGAGGGUAGAAGGGAGAGGAGUGGGGGGCAGGGAGGGAGAGAGAUGCUGGGGAACAGGGGGCCCAGGCAGAGGCCCCUGCUCCAGGCCUGGAGUUUCCAGAAGACCAUCAUCAUUGUCCAGCCAUCCACAUUGUUCUUCUGGCUUCUGAGGCUGGAGACCAGGGGUGAGGAGCUUGGUGUGGCCCUCAAGGAGAGGCCUGUUCUCAUUUCAGCGGGUGUGGGUAUUAAGUUUGGUCCAUGUGCUGGCAGUGGGCAGGAUGGUCAGUGACCUCAAACUCAAAGUCUUCAGGCUCCGGGCAGAUAACAUAAGAGAGAAGCACAGCCUGGGAGGAAAUGCCAGGGCAGACACUGUCUCCUGGGGAUUGUGUGAACUGGAAAUACAGGCCCUGUCUAGACCGUUCAGCAGCCACCAGACUCCAGCCUGUUAGCACCCAGAAACGUCACUCCCCGCCACCAGGCUGAUCAAAUCCAGAUGGAGGUAUACAGCAGCAGGUCCUGCAAGAGAAGUUACAAGAAGCUCACAUACUGCCUGCGUGCCAGGGGCAGCUCUGUCUGGGCUGGCCGUGGGGAACGGGGCUUCGAAGGGUCCCAGACUCCAUUCUGCAGCGAUGCGGGGCAGCAAAGCAUUUUACAGUGAGGACCACCAUUGUCUGAUCCCUCUAAGAAUGGGUCUUGAAUUUCUGAUGCCAGUUUCUCCCUCAAGGGCCAGGGUAAUGCUGGGCAUCCUGCGUGCAUUCUUUCCAUAAGCCCCCUGCCUUCAGGAAUAUAAAAUGUUUAUCUUUUCUGCUUGACACAGCACAGCUGAGAACCAAAAAGUGAAAUAACCUGUGCUGAGUCAUCAGCCGGGAGGCGGGGGAUUGGAGGCAGGAAAAAUAAAUGUAGCAUCUCCCCCUGGGGGCUCCCGUCAAAGACUGUCGAAGGGAGGGUCCGACAGGUAGGGAGGAGAGGGGGGAGCUUGAGGAGCAGGACUCCCCGUGGUCUGUACUGGUCCAGGAACCCCUUUGGCUGUGGCCUUGAGCAGCAGCUGCAGCUCCUCUCACCUUUCCCUCCUCCAGAUGUCCUCAAACAUCCUAAUAUUUAUUUCUACUUGGGAACAGCAGCAAAUCAACAAAGGCAUGUCAAGGACGCCCUCACCUUCCUCUAUGAGGCUCCGAGCCCUAUUUCUGAUUUUCUAAUUGAGCAUGGUUACGUUUUUACUUCCUAUCCUUCUGUACGAUUUGAGGGUUUUUUAAACGAAAACAAAGAGCAGGAGCGAGUGAAUUCAACUCUGGGGCUGCUUUGAACUCUCGUCUCUGCCAAUUAACCCUCCCGGGGAAGGCUGAAGCGCCUCUUAGAAGUGGCAGAAUGCGAGAGAAGCAAUCACCUAGCUGUGUGAACUUGGGAAGGAAUCUGGAGAUGUGACUGCUUCACGAACAGACCUUCAACCAAUUCUCCUAAUUUUUGCACCCUUCCCCGUCACCUCCACUUCCAGAAGUAACUGGUGCUGGCAGUUUUCGAGACUUCUGGGGAUUCUGGCUCACAAAUCGGGGUGGUUUUCCACAUUCUGCACUGUUGGCUUAGGAUUUAAUUUUUUCUCCAUUUUCUUGGGUCUGCUAAGUAAAUUAUCCCUUAUCUAGCUGCUUUUCACAUUUCAAAUUUUGCUGCUGUUUUCUACCCUCCCAUUUUCCCCAUUCAUGUGAGUCUGUGCCUUAAAAAAAGUCUCUUUACUAGCAUUUUAAUGGGAUUUCCAUAGAGAAUGAAAUCAAGGGUUUGCAUCUUUACACAAAACUCCCUGCUGUUCAAAUUCCCCUUCUUUUUCCCAUCCAUUUAUUCUUCCACCUAGAAAUCACGGCAGUGAAAACAAAGAAAUGCAUAACCUUAGUCGUAAGCUGUAAAGCAUUACAUUUAGUGGGAGAAUCAAAAAAGGGGCGAGGAGGUGUGAGGAAGGACGUGAAUUAUGUGUAUGUAUUAGGAAAGUGUAUCGAGCAUGAACACAGCUUAAUCUCGAUACUUUUGGAAUACACAUUUUAGGAAACAGGGCUGAACAAUGUCUUGGUUUAUGAGAUUACACUGAAAAUACAGCAAUUCAUCCUCGAGGUAUACACUAGGACUUUCUUUCAGAAUUUCCAGAGAAAGAUGAGAUUUUAAUUUUGAUCCCAAGGGGGCACGAGUUUUAAAAAAGAGGCGGGGGCAGGAUUGGCCUAAGCUCCAUGCGAAGGAAGAUGCCCUCAAUGACACGCUGAACUCUGGCUCUCCAGGCUGGAGACCUUUUAGGAUAGGUCACCAGGCAAGAAGUGCUGAUGAGCUCACUCCACUCAGCGCAGGCCUCAGCCAGGUGUCUUGCAGGUAUGCUUGUCUUUCUUUGCAGGCCUUCCCUAAAUUUGUCAUUAAUAAUAGACUCCUUCCUUUUUUAUAAUGUCGAUUAAAAUCAUGUCCUCUAAAACAAUGGUUCUUAACUCUGUGCAGCAGAAUUACUGGUGGAUCUUUCAAAAA
RNAcentral lists this long non-coding RNA (3687 nucleotides) under Equus asinus (donkey). Its description in RNAcentral is "lncRNA (ENSEASG00005026888.1)". Lineage: Eukaryota; Metazoa; Chordata; Mammalia; Perissodactyla; Equidae. The record is from RNAcentral.